GUGAUAUAUGAGAAGUUUGGCAAAGACAGCUGCUUCCCCAUCACAGUUAUGCUACUGAACCUUCAAGUGUGAGGUAACUUCCUGUUUCCGAAAGGUGUCGUGUUUCUUUCGAUUUCUGUCACUUGGCAAAGAGUUUUCAGGGUUUCUCCCAGCUAGAAGGAUCCUUACGUUACAUCAGUAGCGUGCACCGAGUGCAGUAACAUCUAUAGGUCAUCUCAGGCUGUGGUGAGGAAAGCAGCGCCUUUAUUUCAGGUGACUGUGAGAAGCUCCAGCUCCCCAGGUACGGGCCGCUUCCAGCCCGUAGGGCCUGAGCCCGACACCUGCGCUAGAGCUCGGCAGGCCUCUCCUGGAUGGACAGAGGCGGGUCCUCUGUGGGCGUCCGGACCCCAGCUCACCCACGCCUGCCUUCCGCUCAUCGCCGCCCACUCCCGGGCGUUUCUCCGGGAGGCCUGGGGUCCCGGGCCUCGGCGGCCUGCGGGUGAGCUGCCCUUCCUCUGGGAUCCCGGCGCAGGUGCUGCCCUCCACGGUGUUACGGUGCAUCAAGAAGUUCCUGACCAGAUGUUGAGCAGAUGCCUCUAGGGGCCCUCAAGCUUCUCAGCCUCCAGAAUUGACUUUGGUCAAGAAUACUCUUGGUGGAGAAAAGCAGCAGGGCCAGUUCCUCCUCAGCCCCAGUGGGCCAGCGUUGUGCUCCUCCUCCGGCGUGCCUACCGGAGACAGCCCUCACCCUUGGGGAAUCCCCUCAUUGAACUCCGAUUGCCUUCUCUCAAGAGGUAUUGAAGGACUGAAAUCAUUCUCCUUUCCUAAGCCAUGCGUGCAUGCUCAUUGCAGGAUGCUGUCCUCAUGGGAGACUUGGUGUGUAGAAAGCAAGACUGUUGUCCUUCUGAGUUCACUGUAACUGGGCAGAAGAUGAUGGCCUUUAGGGUUAGUGAUAGAAUCAAACUGACUUUAUUAAUAUUCAACACAUUGUAGAAUAUCAGUCUCAGUAUCUACUUUGUUUUAUAGAAUAUAUUAAUUUUUUGUAUUCUUAUGCAUUUUAAUUUGAGUUUGGUGUGAGAAUAAAUUAUCCUAAGUAUAUUUUCACAUGAUUAUUCUUUAAUAUUCUCUAUUUACUUUUCUACCUGUGAGGCCAGUAUGCAAAGAUUUAAAGGAAAAAUGGUGCAUGGAUAGACAGACAGACAGACAUAGUUAUUCUGUUGAGAGACCGUGCAACUCAGUGAUAUCCAGUAAUCUUGGAAGUCACAAACACAUAGGUUCCAGUCCUAAAUCCAGCACAUUACUACAUUGAUGCCCUCCAAGGGACCUAAGUUUAUACAUUUCAAUUUUGCCUUUUAAGGAAACAUCAUGGGAAAAUAUGUCUUUUUAUCAAAGACCACAUCAAAUAUGGCUUUCAGUGAAUAACAGUUGUGUUACUAUCAUUGUCUUUUGUGAGAUUAAAGGUACAACAUACGUAAAGUGCUGACCAUGGUGCGUGAGCAUUCUGGUGUGCCACUGCACAGUAGAGUGACUACAGAUAAUAAUAAAGUACUCUAUACCACAAAAAGCUAUAAAGAAUAAUUUAGAAUAUUUCAUCAAAGAUAUAGAUAUUUGAUGAGGUAGAUAUGCAUAACCUAAUUUAAAUAUUGCACAGUUUAUAUAUGCAUUGAAAUAUCAUGAUACCCCCUUAAUAUGGAAAUAUUUAUGUUACAGUUACAUUUAAUAAUUAAACCAUACAAAUAUACAAG
This is a long non-coding RNA of Heterocephalus glaber (naked mole-rat), 1721 nucleotides long. The record is from Ensembl. Lineage: Eukaryota; Metazoa; Chordata; Mammalia; Rodentia; Bathyergidae.